This 460-nucleotide ribosomal RNA is filed under the name uncultured bacterium. RNAcentral's name for it is "partial 16S ribosomal RNA". It matches the Rfam family "Bacterial small subunit ribosomal RNA", at positions 338 to 795 of the family's 1533-position model. The record is from RNAcentral.
CCUACGGGAGGCAGCAGUAGGGAAUCUUCGUCAAUGGACGAAAGUCUGACCCAGCAACGUCGCGUGAGGGAUGACUGCCCUAUGGGUGUUAAACUUCUUUUAUAUAGAAAUAAAACGUUCCUAGUAAGGGAAUGUGUCUUUACGAUAUGAAUCCAGAUCGGCUAACUCCGUGCCAGCAGCCGCGGUAAUACGAAGGGUCGGAGGGUUAUCCGGAUGUGUUGGGUUUAAAGGGAGCGUAGGUGGAUUGUUAAGUCAGAUGUGAAAGUUCGCGGCUCAACCGGAAAAUUGCAGUUGAAACUGGCAGUCUUGAGUACAGUAGAGGUGGGUGGAAUUCGUGGUGUAGCGGUGAAAUGCGUAGAUAUAACGAAGAACUCCGAUGGCGAAGGCAGUUCACUGGACUGUAACUGACACUGAGGCUCGAAAGCGUGGGGAGCAAACAGGAUUAGAUACCCCAGUAGUC